AAUCAACAAAAGCAUCUGUAGCCCACGCCCAUCAGUUAGGCGAUCUUGUGGGCCCAACACCGACGGUCCGAGCCAUCGCGCUAUUCCCACCCACCUCAGCGCCUGAAUCUAUAUGGCGUGUGUGUUUGUGUACUAGUUAAAGGCUUUCACUUGCGCUAUUGUUUCGUGCCCAAAUCGGAAAAGUUGUUAAAUUUAUACAUAACUGCUUAGAAAUUUGUACUUACUCAAUCUAGAAGUUGCUGAGUGGCUUACAGAGUGUUGUUAGUUGGGUUAGCUUGAUUUGGCUAUGGAACUGUGCCAUUGAUAGGUUUGAUUGUGAUUUGAUUUCUUGCUUUGAGCUCCAGUUUGAUGAUGACUAGCUGAGGGGGGUGUUAUGUUGUGAUUAGAAUUGUGAAAGACAGAUAGAUCCUUAUCGAGCUCCCGUAAUUUGGCUAUGGAAAUGUGCCAUUGGUAGGGUUGAUUGUGAUAGAUCUCUUGCUUUGAUGGAACUGUGCCAAAGGUGGAUAAAUCCUCCUAAAGAGCGAGUAUUCUUGUUUCUUGUGCUCCCGGAAACAUCAAGUGUUAAUGCUUUUUGUGAACAUGGAUGAGAAAAUAAACUUCAUCUUAAGAGUGAGUUUAGUAGAAUCAGAAAGAAGAAGGAAAAAAUGUGUUUGACAGCAUAUAUUAUGGGUAAUGAUUUUGAUGGUCCUUCGAUGUUCGAAUGUGGAUCUGUUUUUACCUCUGCACAAGAACCUUGUGGUUGGCACUUUAGGAAAUUAGAUCAGUUUGUAAAUAACAUGACACUAUUAUAACUCGUAUGUGGAAAUAUGCUAAAUUAGUCCCCCAAAUAUUUGUACAUAUGGAGUCACCAAAUUUCCACAUGUUUUCUCAAGAUUUGUUAGUGCAAGAUUUCCGCCAAUGUGGUUGCUACAAUUGAGAAUGGCAAUCUCACUUUAUGCUGAACCUUGGUCUUUUCUCUCAUCUACCCUUGCCGCCACUCUGAAAAUAGUUUCUGAUAGAAGUUCUACACUCGGGCUUACUUAAUUAGCUUUUUUUCUGAACUUUGCUCCCAUCAUGAUUUUUUGACAGCUUGGGUGGUGGAGGUUGCUGAGAGUGCUGCUUCCUUGGUUGCCAGAUGGCAGGGGGUUGGUUUUACUCAUGAUGUGUUGAACACUGACAUUAUGAGCAUUUUGGGUCUUACCAUCAAUUGUGGUCUAUUUGGAUUUCUGGAUGUAUUUGAUCCAAGUUACACGCUGAAUACCACGGAUCUUCCUGGGAGGAGAUAUUGUUUUGCAAAUCAGCCUGAUAUUGGGUUGCGGAAUAUUGCACAAUUCACCAGAACUCUUGUAGCUGUCAAUUCACCAGAACUCUUGUAGCUGUCAAGUUGAUAGAUGAUAUGGAGGUGAAUUACGCAGUGUAAGGAUAUGGAACCAAAUUCAUGGAUGACUAUUAAACAGCUGAUCCCCGAAGUGGAUUACACAAACUUUUUUUGGUUGCUAUCCAAUAUCAAAGCUGAUCCUAACAUUCCCGAAGAGGAGUUAUUGAACCCACUAAAGGCUGUUCUAUUAGACAUUGGACAGUAGUGAAAGGAGGUAUGGAUCAGCUGGGUGAAAAUCUACGUAGAGGAGCUGGCCACAAGCGGCAUCUCAGAUGAGGAGAGGAAGGCAUCAAUGAAUGCGGCGAACCCUAAAUAUGUUCUCAGAAACUACUUGUGCCAGAGUGCCACCGAUGCGAUAUGCAGAUAGAUGGAUAGGGAAAAGGAAGAUCUGACCUGAGGGCAGCAAGAUCAUUGGCAAUUGGGGUGCAUAGGUAAAGAGAACAAGAAGGAGAGUAGGGAAAAAGCAACAAAAAGCAGAAAUAGAACGCAAAGAGAAAAAGCAAGGAUUGGCACCGACCCUAAACGGAAAUAGGCUUUGCGGCAGAAGAGAAAGCUUAGUUUUGUUGCUGUUCUCACUCAGGGAGAGAAUGACUCCCCUCGAUUGUUGGAUCAUUCACUUCACACAUGCGUUUUUGCCUUUCUCUCUUUCUCUCUGCCUUUUUUCCUCUCUCUCUCUAGUCUUAAAAAGCUUCAAACUUUUGGCUUCUGGGUAUUCAAAGGAAGAAGGAGGAGGAGGAAGAAGAAAUAGGUACAAUUAGAACAUGAGAUUAUCAAUUAACUUCAUUAACUCCUAUGUGAAUUAAAUGAUUGUUGAGUUGUAUUGGGUUUUCUUCUAAAUCUUUCAAAUUUUUCCAUUUGGGUUUUGUCUCUGAUAUCAUUUCUGGCAUUGGAUAGCUGCUGGACUUGCUUCUUCAUCACCA
Long non-coding RNA from Pyrus x bretschneideri (Chinese white pear), 2277 nucleotides. RefSeq lists it as uncharacterized. The transcript has 3 exons. NCBI's taxonomy places the organism in Eukaryota, Viridiplantae, Streptophyta, Magnoliopsida, Rosales, Rosaceae. The record is from RefSeq and is a predicted model, not a curated record.